GCAAGUCGAGCGGAAACGAAGAUAGCUUGCUAUCAGGCGUCGAGCGGCGGACGGGUGAGUAACGCGUAGGAACCUACCUAAUAGUUUGGGAUAGCCAUUGGAAACGAUGAUUAAUACCGGAUACGCCCUACGGGGGAAAGCAGAGGACCUUCGGGCUUUGCGCUAUUAGAUGGGCCUGCGUGAGAUUAGCUAGUUGGUGGGGUAAUGGCCCACCAAGGCGACGAUCUCUAGCUGGUCUGAGAGGAUGAUCAGCCACACUGGGACUGAGACACGGUCCAGACUCCUACGGGAGGCAGCAGUGGGGAAUAUUGCACAAUGGGCGAAAGCCUGAUGCAGCCAUGCCGCGUGUGUGAAGAAGGCUCUAGGGUUGUAAAGCACUUUCAGUCGGGAGGAAAGGAUAGUAGUUAAUACCUGCUAUCUGUGACGUUACCGACAGAAGAAGCACCGGCUAACUCCGUGCCAGCAGCCGCGGUAAUACGGAGGGUGCGAGCGUUAAUCGGAAUUACUGGGCGUAAAGCGUACGUAGGUGGUUUGUUAAGUUGGAUGUGAAAGCCCAGGGCUCAACCUUGGAACUGCAUACAAAACUGGCGAACUAGAGUAUGGUAGAGGUGAGUGGAAUUUCCUGUGUAGCGGUGAAAUGCGUAGAGAUGGGAAGGAACAUCAGUGGCGAAGGCGACUCACUGGACCAAUACUGACACCGAGGUACGAAAGCGUGGGUAGCAAACAGGAUUAGAU
Molecule: ribosomal RNA, 735 nt
Filed under: uncultured Gammaproteobacteria bacterium
Lineage: Bacteria; Pseudomonadati; Pseudomonadota; Gammaproteobacteria
Description: bacterial SSU rRNA
Rfam family: Bacterial small subunit ribosomal RNA
Source: RNAcentral